RNAcentral lists this ribosomal RNA (163 nucleotides) under uncultured bacterium. Its description in RNAcentral is "partial 16S ribosomal RNA". It matches the Rfam family "Bacterial small subunit ribosomal RNA", at positions 355 to 509 of the family's 1533-position model. The record is from RNAcentral.
UAGGGAAUCUUCCACAAUGGACGGAAAGUCUGAUGGAGCAACGCCGCGUGAGUGAAGAAGGGUUUCGGCUCGUAAAGCUCUGUUGGUAGUGAAGAAAGAUAGAGGUAGUAACUGGCCUUUAUUUGACAGUAAUUACUUAGAAAGUCACGGCUAACUACGUGCC